CGACCCUGUGUUUGAUUCCCACAGGUGCAGACCCGAAGUUCGGAUGAGCCAAUGACAACCUUUGUGGUGUGUAACGAAUGUGGAAAUCGCUGGAAGUUCUGCUGAAAACCUCACGGAGGGGAGCAGCCACAGCUGAUUCAGGGCCCAAGCUCUGCCACGGACUCCCGCAGUACGGCCAGCAGUUUUUUUUUUUUUUUGGUCCUGUUUUGUCACCGAGUUUGCUUUGUGCUCUGUACAUCAUCCAGGUGAGGAGGGCCCAGCUGCCUGCACACCUGUAGGAAGUUAUCAGCGGCUGGGAACGGAGGCCGCCGGGAUGGCACCGGAUGGGAAAGUUUAACCGGGACCAACCAGCUUAUUGUUGAGAAUGUGGAACAGCGAUUUUUGUUCUUGUUUCGUUUCGUUUCUCUUAAAACGGCCAGGCGUCUGGCUUUGAGCCUCAAAGU
Molecule: long non-coding RNA, 443 nt
Organism: Crotalus tigris (Tiger rattlesnake)
Lineage: Eukaryota; Metazoa; Chordata; Lepidosauria; Squamata; Viperidae
Exons: 2
Source: RefSeq, a predicted model, not a curated record